This is a long non-coding RNA of Panthera uncia (snow leopard), 231 nucleotides long. RefSeq lists it as uncharacterized. Lineage: Eukaryota; Metazoa; Chordata; Mammalia; Carnivora; Felidae. The transcript is spliced from 2 exons. The record is from RefSeq and is a predicted model, not a curated record.
UAUAAUUCCAUUUUAAAAGUAGGGAUAUUAAUACCUUACUAGUAGGUUCUAAUAACAUGUGAGACAGCGCUUUGAGCACUGUUAAGUCCGAUAGAAAUAUUAACAAAUGAUCUCUUCUUGAGACUGUGAAGGACUCGGGUCAGCUUGUCAAUUCCUGGCAAUUGCCCACAAAUAUAAAUGUAAACAUGUACACAGUUUGUACAAGAAAAUAAAAUAAGGGUAGUUUAAAAA